RNAcentral lists this transfer RNA (77 nucleotides) under Malurus melanocephalus (red-backed fairy wren). RNAcentral's name for it is "tRNA-Asp". The record is from RNAcentral. Lineage: Eukaryota; Metazoa; Chordata; Aves; Passeriformes; Maluridae.
GGGACGUUAGUAAAACAAUUACAUAGCCUUGUCAAGACUAAAUUACAGGUGAAAACCCAGUACGCCCCAACUCUUAC